UAGCACAUAGAUAUAUUGUUCAUGUCAUAUAGAUGUUUUUCUCUUCUUCUUUCUUUCCUCUUGAAGCUGGUGCUCCCAGUACUCGGUAUUUUUUUUGGUGUACAUUCUCUUUGCACGUUCUUGCUUUCGCAAGUCGCAUUGCCUUGACUCGAGUUUCAACACGUCUGCAGCAGCAUCCCAAUUGUUUGAUUUUCUUAAGACUAUGCUCCUUGCGACAUCAUUGUUUUUCUCAACGCCUUGACCACUAAACAGUUUUACAGUUUUGUAUGUCUUUAGAAAUGUUGGUACAUGGUAAACCAUAGCAUGCAUGUAGGGGGUUACCUUGCUUUUUGUAUAACCAAC
This is a non-coding RNA of Paramuricea clavata, 342 nucleotides long. The record is from the annotation of a GenBank genome assembly. Lineage: Eukaryota; Metazoa; Cnidaria; Anthozoa; Malacalcyonacea; Plexauridae.